RNAcentral lists this ribosomal RNA (519 nucleotides) under Phrynobatrachus asper (Itombwe river frog). RNAcentral's name for it is "partial large subunit ribosomal RNA". It matches the Rfam family "Bacterial large subunit ribosomal RNA", at positions 1809 to 2560 of the family's 2925-position model. Lineage: Eukaryota; Metazoa; Chordata; Amphibia; Anura; Phrynobatrachidae. The record is from RNAcentral.
AAAAACAUCGCCUCUUGUGAAUCAUAAGAGGUCCCGCCUGCCCAGUGACAAGUUCAACGGCCGCGGUAUCCUGACCGUGCGAAGGUAGCAUAAUCACUUGUUCUUUAAAUAGGGACUUGUAUCAACGGCACCACGAGGGUUAUACUGUCUCCUCCCUCCAAUCAGUGAAUCUGAUCUCCCCGUGAAGAAGCUGGGAUAUUAAUAUAAGACGAGAAGACCCCAUGGAGCUUCAAACUCAACAACAUCUUCUUCCACUUAAACCAACAAAACUAAGAAGAACUGUCUGUUAGUUUUAGGUUGGGGUGACCGCGGAGAACAAUUAAACCUCCACAACGAAUGGGCCCGCCCUAAUCCAAGAGCUACCGCUCUAAGAAUCAACAAAUUGACGUACUCUGAUCCGAUAUUCGAUCAACGAACCAAGUUACCCUGGGGAUAACAGCGCAAUCCAUUUCAAGAGCCCCUAUCGACAAAUGGGUUUACGACCUCGAUGUUGGAUCAGGGUACCCCAGUGGUGCAGCC